RNAcentral lists this unclassified non-coding RNA (172 nucleotides) under uncultured Diaporthales. Its description in RNAcentral is "sequence contains ITS1". Lineage: Eukaryota; Fungi; Ascomycota; Sordariomycetes; Diaporthales. The record is from RNAcentral.
AUGAGGACAAAACCCUCUCCAAACCACUGUGAACCUACUAUAUCCCGUUGCUUCGGCAGGCGGCCCCGGGGGGGUCCCAGGCCUUAUGGCGCCUGCCGGGCGGCAACCAAAAAAUCUUGCAGUCAUUGCCUUCAGCGGAUGUCAGCCUGCCUACGGGCGGCUAAAUCAGUAA